UAUGAUUGCGGAACUCAAAACUACACAGUUCAUAGCUGUUGAGUCGCGUCAAGGUUCACGUAACUUCUGUGACAGCGGUAAAUGUGCCUCCGGUAAGACUCAAACUCCCGAUAGGUCUUUGCACACCCUUGCACACCACACAUAACAGAAAAAUCCCUAUCGUGGCGAUGGUCCCUGAUGUGCCAGACGACCUUACAAAACUUCGCCGACGAAAACGGACACCAUGGGCACGUAUGCAUCGCGUUUUUGCUUUUUUGUUCAGUCGGGCCCGAAACACAUAAAUGACAAUAAAACAAAAUAAAAUUUCUUAAAAAUGCAAUAUAUACAGCUUCUAGUUGAUUUUCAUUGUGCUUGUUGAAUAACGUUGCGAAGCUUGUAAUCCAAAACAAGAAAAAAAAAGCCCUUUUCGGCAAAUAAAGAGCUCAUACACCGAAGCGUUGCUCUUGUGUGAAUAAAAUAUCAGGUGUUCACUCAGAUAUUAACAGAAAGAGUGCUGUUUUUUUUUUGUCUGCCUGCGUUUAGUUUCCGCGCAACAAACUUGUUCAAAAAAUAUUUUCGAACUGGUUUUGCAUAGCCUCAAAGAUUUCAACACACUGUAGUUAGUGGUGCGUUUUGUAUCUCGAAGGCUAUACUUUUCUUGCACUGUGAGUUGUUUGACUUUUUAACCGCCACUUUGUAGGAAUUAAUUAUUCUAUUCAACGUAUAAAAGUAUAUUUGAUGGUAAGUGGCUGGCAAAUUGUUUUGUUCAUUUAAGAAUGUUUCUCAAGUAGCAAAUGAAAAAGAAAAGGUCAGCCACAAUUUUAGGUGGCGCGGGCUACCACUCCUACGGCACCCAUAGGCCGGUGCGCUUAUCGCUCCACCCCUGUGUGUCCACAAGCUAGACAAAGGAGAGAUUGCCCAGACAAGCCCGUGGGUGGAUCGCACGUGUUUGCCUUUCAGUGAACGGGUGAGUUUCGUUCGUGCUUUUUUUUUGCCUUCUCGAGGGCACGUGCGCGGAAAUGUCGACGCCGAUCCAGCGCUUGGCGUCGUUGAACGAUCGUAAGAAGAUCACCUCCAUUUGCGGGCACACCAAGGAAGAUGUCCUCGCUGCCGUGAUGGCCACAGACUUCGGAGAUGUCGCGUCAAAUUGCAGAAUGGAGGUCUACAAUGCACAAUUUGAUGCGUACGUCGACCCACCUGACGGGAAUGUGUUCUGCGAUGGAAACAAAAUUAGACUGAUCAGUAAUGAGGCCAUACCUCGCACUUGCAGCACAAGUGAAACACUUGUAGUCACGCCAGGGUUGGGCCCAUCAAGCAGUGACUACAGAUUGCCACCGCUACCAUUUGACCUAUAGGUUGCCAUCGGCAACACCGAAGCUGCAAGUUUCCAGCCGCACAAAAUCGAGGAUUAUCUCUUGGUUGAGCAACCACUUGAUUUCAAUCAGUGUGCACCCAGGAAGGCUGUACGAGACUGCUGCGAAGGCACUAAUCUUGGAGUACCCUGUACUUAAGGACACCAUUGGGACGGGUUGAUUGAGCAAAAUUAUUUACCAUUUGGAGAUCUUGCUAUCUUCUAAAAAGAUUUUAGCAGAGUAUGGUAAUGCUAUCAGCAGCAGUAAACAAUUGGCUGAAAAUAAAAUGGCAAAAUG
This is an RNA transcript of Dermacentor silvarum, 1628 nucleotides long. RefSeq lists it as uncharacterized. The transcript has 4 exons. NCBI's taxonomy places the organism in Eukaryota, Metazoa, Arthropoda, Arachnida, Ixodida, Ixodidae. The record is from RefSeq and is a predicted model, not a curated record.